Long non-coding RNA from Oncorhynchus keta (chum salmon), 2564 nucleotides. RefSeq lists it as uncharacterized. The record is from RefSeq and is a predicted model, not a curated record. NCBI's taxonomy places the organism in Eukaryota, Metazoa, Chordata, Actinopteri, Salmoniformes, Salmonidae. The transcript has 3 exons.
AAAAAAAAAAAAAAAUGGAAAUGCAGUUUUAGUGACCACGGCCAAUAGCCAUUGAGGAAUGUUAAAGAGCGACUGAAUGCACCGAUUCUGUAUGGGUUUCUCUGUUGCUCAUUAAGAAAAACAAGAUUUCCGUCUUUGGGGGUGUGGUUCGAUGUGGCAGUUACUGAUGUUUGUCCCCCAUGAGACACAAUAGGAACAAAGCCAGUAUCACUUCCUCAAAAUAGUCCGAAUGAAUCAACAGUAAAUUUGGAAAGUAUUCAGACGCCUUGACUUUUUCCACAUUUUGUUACAGCCCUAUUCUAAAGUUGAUUCAAUAGUCGUUGUCGUCAUCAUCGUCGUCCCCUCAAAUCUACAGAAAAUACCCCAUAAUGACAAAACAAAAUGUAUUCAAAAUAAAACUGAAGUAGUCAGACACUUUACUCAGUUCUUUGUUGAAGCACCUUUGGCAGCGAUUACAGCCUCGAGUCUUCUUGGGUAGGACGCUACACGCUUGGCCCACCUGUAUUUGGGGAGUUUCUCCCAUUCUUCUCUGCAGAUCCUCUCAAGCUCUGUCAGGUUGGAUGGGGAGCGUCGCUGCACACUUAUUUUCAGGUCUCUCCAAAGAUGUUAGAUCGGGUUCAAGUACAGGCUCUGGCUAGACCAUUCAAGGACAUUCAGAGACUUGCCCCGAAGCCACUCCUGCGUCAUCUUGGCUGUGUGCUUAGGGUCGUGGUCCUGUUGGAAGGUGAACCUUUGCCCCAGUCUAAGGUCCUGAGCACUCUGGAAUAGGUCGUCAUCAAGGAUCUCUCUGUACUUUGCUCCGUUCAUCUUUCCCUCGGUCCCAACUAGUCUCCCAGCACCUGCCGCUGAAAACCAUCACCACAGCAUGAUGCUGCCACCAUCAUGCUUCACCGUAGGGAUCGUGCCAGGUUUCCUCCAGACGUGACGCUUGGCAUUCAGGCCAAAUAGUUUAAUCUUGGUUUCAUCAGACCAGAGAGUCUUGUUUCUCAUGGUCAGAGUCCUUUAGGUGCCUUUUGGCAAACUCCAAGCGGGCCGUCAUGUGCUUUUUACUGAGGAGUGGCUUCCGUCUGGCCACUCUACCAGAAAGGCCUGAUUGGUGGAGUGCUACAGAGAUGGUUGUGCUACACAAAGGUUGUCCCAUCUCCACAGAGGAAUUCUGGAGCUCAGAGUGACCAUUGGGUUCUUGGUCACAUCCCUGAUCAAGGCCCUUUUCCCCCGAUUGCUCAGUUUGGCUGGGCGGACAGCUCUUGGAAGAGUCAUUUAAUAAUGAUGGAGGCCACUGUUCUUGGAAAACUUCAAUGCUGCAGACGUUUUUUUGGUACCCUUCCCCAGAAUUGUGAGUCGACACAAUCCUGUCUCUGAGCUCUACGAACAAUUCCUUUGACCUCAUGGCUUGGUUUUUGCUCUGACAUGUACUGUUAACUGUGGGAUCAUAGACCGGUGUGUGCCUUUCCAAGUCAUGUCCAAUCAAUUGAAUUUACCACAGGUGAACUCCAAUCAAGUUAUAGAAACAUCUCAUGGACGAUCAAAAAAUCAGGAUGCAACUGAGCUCAAUUUCAAGUCUCAUAGCAAAGGGUCUGAAUGCUUAUGUAAAUAAGGUAUUUCAGUUUAGCAUUUUUUAUAAAAAUGUCUAAAAACCUGUUUUUGCUUUGUCAUUUUGGGGCAUUGAUGAGGGAAAAAAUAAUAAUAUUCAAUUUUAGGAAUGGUAACGGGAAAUAGGCUAUACGGUCCCGGUAACGGGAAUAAGGCUGUACGGUCCCGAUAACGGGAAUAAGGCUGUACGGUCCCGAUAACGGGAAUAAGGCUGUAAGGUCCCGGUAACGGGAAUAAGGCUGUAAGGUCCCGGUAACGGGAAUAAGGCUGUACGGUCCCGGUAACGGGAAUAAGGCUGUAAGGUCCCGGUAACGGGAAUAAGGCUGUAAGGUCCCGGUAACGGGAAUAAGGCUGUAAGAUCCCGGUAACGGGAAUAAGGCUGUAAGGUCCCGGUAACGGGAAUAAGGCUGUAAGGUCCUGGUAACGGGAAUAAGGCUGUAAGGUCCUGGUAACGGGAAUAAGGCUGUAAGGUCCUGGUAACGGGAAUAAGGCUGUAAGGUCCUGGUAACGGGAAUAAGGCUGUAAGGUCCUGGUAACGGGAAUAAGGCUGUAAGGUCCUGGUAACGGGAAUAAGGCUGUAAGGUCCUGGUAACGGGAAUAAGGCUGUAAGGUCCUGGUAACGGGAAUAAGGCUGUAAUGUAACAAAAUGCACUGUAAGACAACUCAAGAAAUCUGUAAUUAACUGACAUUAUUGCAUAGGUUUUGGUCGGGCAAUUUAAAUCUACUUAAGGUGUUUGGUGCAGUAUUUCUCAAGUAAAAAAAUGCGAAGUGUUGUCUUAUGUAAACAAAGUACAAUACGCUAUGCUGCUGGGUAGUCUGUCUCACCUUGUGUUUCUGACCAAUAUUGAUUCCCAUAAGCUGUUUUCUAUCAGAUAGGUUGUUUAUUGCCUUGAGUUGUGCUUUAAUGGAUUUCUUGAAAGAAAUCCCUGGCAUUCUUGAACCUAUCAGGGUGACAGUGUGACACUAGUGAG